This is a long non-coding RNA of Xiphophorus hellerii (green swordtail), 963 nucleotides long. RefSeq lists it as uncharacterized. The transcript has 3 exons. Lineage: Eukaryota; Metazoa; Chordata; Actinopteri; Cyprinodontiformes; Poeciliidae. The record is from RefSeq and is a predicted model, not a curated record.
AUAGUUUCCAGGUGUGACGCUCCGGUUGGGUAAAGUGGGCGGGGUAUAUAAGCGGCCGCUGUGCCCAGUCAGACAUGUGUCUUCCUCAUCAUCCACUGUGUGGCCCGCGUCUCUUGGGUUCCGGCGGAAGAAAAGGCAACAUAUCGCCAGUGUGGUGCAUGCUGUUUUGAUUCCCUGGUGGUGAAACGCUAUUGUGCUGCUCUCCUCUGCUUCCUCGUUCAGCGAGUGUGUGUGUGCGUUUUUGCCUGGAUUGACAGGUUUCCCCAUAUUCGAACCAUUGCUGCUCUUUUGGAUCCCGGAUUUUGCACGUCAUCAGUCAAACUUGGACUGUGGUGGCGCCUACACGCCUUAAUUGAAGCGGUGUUUGGGGUGUGGCAUCGGCGCGCCGAGCUCGCUCCCUGCAGUGGCGUGACUAGAGCCACACCGGAUCUUAAUAUUCAACUUGGAUUUUCUAUUUGUUUCUUUAUUUAGUUUCCAGCCCUUUUGGUUCCUUUAGAUAAUUGUUUAUUUAUUUGGGCUGAUAUUGUUUUUCUUUUGUUGUAUUAAGUAUAAGGUUGUUGUAUUUGGUUAACUGUUUUUCUGUUGUUUGCAGUUGCUGAGGCCCGGUGGCGGUGCUGGUGUGGUGACGGUGUCUCCCUCUUUUUUUGUGCCGUGAUUCCUGAGUUUGGGUUGUCUCACUGCGUCUGGUGCUUUUACGGUUUUUUUUGUUUGCUGUGUUUGGUGGAUGCCGUCCCUAUAGUGGCCCCUUCUGCCGGUGACCUCAGCUACUAUAGUUUUUUUUCUGUUUUUCCUUAGUUUUUUUGUUGUAAAGAACUGGUUUUAAAAAGAGUUUUAAAAGAAUUUAAUAAAUAGCUUUUUGUGUAUUUGCAAUUGCCUCAGAUGUUUUAAUUCAUGCAUAACCGAACCUGUGUGCUUUAAAAAAAAGAGGUAAUAUUCUCUGGGUGAAAUUCCCAGGGUGGCGCU